ACUUCUCCUGGUCUCCCAUGCAGUGCAGGGCCCAAGCACUUGGGCCAUCCUCCACUGCCUUCCCGGGCCACAGCAGAGAGCAGGCCUGGAAGAGGGGCAACCGGGACAGAAUCCAGUGCCCCGACCGGGACUAGAACCUGGUGUUAUGGUGCCACAAGGCGGAGGAUUAGCCUAGUGAGCCGCGGCACCAGUGAGAUACUGCUUAUUAAUUUGAUUUAUCUAGGCAAGGGCUUACUUAUAAACCUCAAAAGUGGAAGGGAAGGAAGGAAGGAAGGAAGGAAGGAAGGAAGGAAGGAAGGAAGGAAGGAAGGAAGGAAGGAAGGAAGGAAGGAAAGAAGGAAGGAAGGAAGUCAAUUUCCUAUCCCAGUGUGACCACUGGGGAACUGGAGAUUUAAAUUAUCUCUUCACACCCUUUCUCUGGUGGAGAAACCAUACACACAAGGGAGUCUUCAAAUAGAAGCAGCUGAUGAUUUCCUUUAGUCAGACCCUGUGGGAACUUUCUUAUUCCAGAGGACUCUUUUAUUUCACAGUUCAACUUUUUGUUUUCACUUCUAUUUGAGAAUUUGAAAUAUUAAGAUUGUUUUUCACAAACCCUUUUAUACUCAUCUCAACCCACUCUGGGAUCUGUGUUGGUUAGACAACAUUUGCACACUUUCCAUCUACUGAAUUACUGUGUAAUUCCUUCCUCAGUUUAUUUCAAGCCUGCUUUGUGUUGGCUGUUGACCACACAGAGUUGUAUGUUAUUAAUUCCACAGCUUAUUUUGAAAAUUUCUCCAGAGACCAUCUCUUCCAUCCGCCUUCAGCCUGAGACACAAAGCAUACAGUCUCUAAUAUUUCUCCAUCAAAAGGGUUUGUGUUAUCAUUAUUUUUCCAUGUUCUUUCUGGAAUAACACCAUCUAUUUUGAGUUUUUAUUUGAUUUGCCUGGUCCAAGGAUCCUAGGCAAGAGUAAUAAAAUGAAGCAAACAUUUAUUGAUAGUAUUAUGUUACUGAAUGAAGGGAGCAAUUUAGAGGUAAAGAUUUUUUUUUUCCCCACAAGUAGUAUAUUACCAUCUGUUCCCAUUUCCCACAAAUCAGUACUGAGUGAUCAACAUGAAAGAGAAAACUGGGUCAACAUUUACAUUUCAAGUCAAGUUAGAUUUUGCUUUGUUUUACCAAAAUAA
Molecule: long non-coding RNA, 1161 nt
Filed under: Oryctolagus cuniculus (rabbit)
Lineage: Eukaryota; Metazoa; Chordata; Mammalia; Lagomorpha; Leporidae
Description: lncRNA (ENSOCUG00000035043.1)
Source: RNAcentral